CGUAAAGCGCAUGCAGGCGGUCUGUUAAGCAAGAUGUGAAAGACCCGGGCUUAACCUGGGAACCGCAUUUUGAACUGGCAGGCUAGAGUCUUGUAGAGGGGGGUAGGAAUUUCAGGUGUAGCGGUGAAAUAGCGUAGAGAUCUGAAGGAAUACCGGUGGCGAAGGCGGCCCCCUGGACAAAGACUGACGCUCAGAUGCGAAAGCGUGGGGAGCAAACAGGAUUAGAUACCCUGGUAG
This 237-nucleotide ribosomal RNA is filed under the name uncultured bacterium. RNAcentral's name for it is "partial 16S ribosomal RNA". It matches the Rfam family "Bacterial small subunit ribosomal RNA", at positions 559 to 793 of the family's 1533-position model. The record is from RNAcentral.